CCAGGAUGUUGGCUUAGAAGCAGCCAUCAUUUAAAGAAAGCGUAAUAGCUCACUGGUCGAGUCGGCCUGCGCGGAAGAUGUAACGGGGCUAAACCAUGCACCGAAGCUGCGGCAGCGAACGUAUCACUUAAAGCGAUUCAGCGGGUUACGAUUGACGGAGCGAAGCGACGUCAAAGCGUAUACAAAGUCGAGUCGGUUUAAGGAUACGUUCGUUGGGUAGGGGAGCGUUCUGUAAGCCCGUGAAGGUGGCCUGUGAGGGUUGCUGGAGGUAUCAGAAGUGCGAAUGCUGACAUAAGUAACGAUAAAGCGGGUGAAAAGCCCGCUCGCCGGAAGACCAAGGGUUCCUGUCCAACGUUAAUCGGGGCA
This 366-nucleotide ribosomal RNA is filed under the name Salmonella enterica. Its description in RNAcentral is "bacterial LSU rRNA". It matches the Rfam family "Bacterial large subunit ribosomal RNA", at positions 1093 to 1376 of the family's 2925-position model. The record is from RNAcentral. RNAcentral also lists the same sequence under 2 other names. Lineage: Bacteria; Pseudomonadati; Pseudomonadota; Gammaproteobacteria; Enterobacterales; Enterobacteriaceae.